AAGUCGUAACAAGGUUUCCGUAGGUGAACCUGCGGAAGGAUCAUUAACAAAUCUGUGGGCUUGGUCUUUGUCCGGCUCAUUUUUGCGCGUGUGUAGUGUGACUGGUUACUAAAAGUGGGAUUUGUAACAGAGACAACUUUUAACAAUGGAUCUCUUGGCUCUU
This 163-nucleotide unclassified non-coding RNA is filed under the name fungal sp. Its description in RNAcentral is "partial internal transcribed spacer region". The stretch from base 1 to 46 matches the Rfam family "Eukaryotic small subunit ribosomal RNA", at positions 1786 to 1831 of the family's 1831-position model. The record is from RNAcentral. Lineage: Eukaryota; Fungi.